GAUGAACGCUAGCUACAGGCUUCCCUCAUGCAAGUCGAGGGGCAGCAUCAUCAAAGCUUGCUUUGAUGGAUGGCGACCGGCGCACGGGUGAGUAACACGUAUCCAACCUGCCGACAACACUGGGAUAGCCUUUCGAAAGAAAGAUUAAUACCGGAUGGCAUAAUUAUUCCGCAUGGGAUAAUUAUUAAAGAAUUUCGGUUGUCGAUGGGGAUGCGUUCCAUUAGGCAGUUGGCGGGGUAACGGCCCACCAAACCUACGAUGGAUAGGGGUUCUGAGAGGAAGGUCCCCCACAUUGGAACUGAGACACGGUCCAAACUCCUACGGGAGGCAGCAGUGAGGAAUAUUGGUCAAUGGACGAGAGUCUGAACCAGCCAAGUAGCGUGAAGGAUGACUGCCCUAUGGGUUGUAAACUUCUUUUAUACGGGAAUAAAGUUAGCCACGUGUGGCUUUUUGUAUGUACCGUAUGAAUAAGGAUCGGCUAACUCCGUG
Molecule: ribosomal RNA, 489 nt
Filed under: uncultured bacterium
Lineage: Bacteria
Description: bacterial SSU rRNA
Rfam family: Bacterial small subunit ribosomal RNA
Source: RNAcentral